RNAcentral lists this ribosomal RNA (301 nucleotides) under uncultured bacterium. RNAcentral's name for it is "partial 16S ribosomal RNA". It matches the Rfam family "Bacterial small subunit ribosomal RNA", at positions 509 to 809 of the family's 1533-position model. The record is from RNAcentral.
CAGCCGCCGCGGUAAUGCGAAGGGGGCUAGCGUUGCUCGGAAUGACUGGGCGUAAAGGGCGCGUAGGCGGAUUGUUUUGUCGGGCGUGAAAUUCCAGGGCUCAACCUUGAGUGGUCGUUCGAGACGGACAGUCUUGAGUACGGUAGGGGCAAAGGGAAUUUCCGGUGGAGCGGUGAAAUGCAUUGAGAUCGGGAAGAACACCAACGGCGAAAGCACUCUGCUGGGCCGACACUGACACUGAGAGACGAAAGCUAGGGGAGCAAAUGGGAUUAGAUACCCCUGUAGUCCCUGUCUCUUAUAA